This is an RNA transcript of Pan troglodytes (chimpanzee), 8541 nucleotides long. It is a transcript of the gene named phosphatidylinositol 3,4,5-trisphosphate 3-phosphatase TPTE2-like, with no coding region annotated. The transcript is spliced from 4 exons. NCBI's taxonomy places the organism in Eukaryota, Metazoa, Chordata, Mammalia, Primates, Hominidae. The record is from RefSeq and is a predicted model, not a curated record.
CAAGAAAUGAAUUGGAUAAUCCACAUCAACAAAAAGCAUGGAAAAUUUAUCCACCAGAAUUUGCCGUGGAGAUAAUUUUUGGUAUGGUUUCUGUGGAUUCUCUGCUCUUUGUGCUCUCCUCCCCACAUUGAUGGCUCCAUCUGGCACAGGGAAGCUUCUGGAUAUCAGAAGGUGGAUUCUCACUCUGUCACCCAGGCUGGAGUGUACUGGCACAAUCUUCGCUCACUUCAACCUCUGCCUUCUGGGUUUGAGCAAGUCUCCUGCCUCAGCCUCCCGAGUAACUGGGAUUACAGGCGUGUACCACCACAUCUGGCUAAUUUUUAUAUUUUUAGUAGAGACGAGGUUUCACCAUAUUGGCCAGGCUGGUCUUGAACUCCUGACCUCAAGUGAUCCACUUGCCUCGGCCUUCCAAAGUGCUGAGAUUACAGGCUUGAGCAACCUUGCCCAGCCAAAAGUAAACUCUUUAAUUCUAUCACAAUAUGUUCUAGAUCUUUGACAGACUGAAAGACAUAAAAUGUCAAAAGGUGAGACUCUCUCAUGUGGCUAAACACCCUCCUACUGCAGAGACAGAACUGAGCCCAAGAGCAUUCACGUGCUGGUGAGAGGUGGCCAGGGGCAGGCAGAUGGUUGCACCAUUCUCAGGGUCAGCAUCUUCCCCAGUGUGGCACGGGGGAGGGGAGGGGGCACGGGGCCUGGGAGGCUGUAGCCUAAAGGCAUGCAGUGGGCGAGAGACUACUGGGCAGGCCCCUGCCAGCCUUCAGUUCCCUGAGCAUCUGGUGCCAGGACGCUCCUUGUGGGCUCUGCCCUGGGAGAAGUGCCCUUGCCCAGUGCUCCUUAUCAGUGUCUGUGACGCUCUGUCUCCAGUCCUCCUCAUUAGCAUACCUUGGCCGACCUUUGGCUCAUGGAAAUACACUUUGCUCUUCUCUGAACAAUUUCUUUUUCACAGCUGAGCAAAUGACUGAUGAGGUGACCACACUCAUGACCAUACUCACCUGUUGGUGGUGGGUGGGGGUGGACUGGAUGAGGACAGCAUUGGGCAACACUCCUUCUGGCCUCCCCACUGCAGGGAGCCGCAAUUACUAUGAGAGUCCUGUGGGACGCCAGGGUAGUCCAGGGUUUCCCUUUGGGCAAUCAGCAUUCCAACCUCUCCUCCUACUUCUGGCCUCUGGAGAACUAAAUUACCACCAUGCACUUCCCAUUCCGCCUGUGCCUCAGCCCGAGGGUCCUGCUCUUCCUGCAUGUUCAAGCUGAUCUUUCUAGGGAGUAGCCUGCACUGUGCCAGCACUACCCCCUUGUCACAGGCAGCACCUCCCUGUGCCGGGGGAGCCUCAGUCUGCCCUUGGGCUCAGGCCCCUAGGCUCAAGUUAGCUGACAUUCCCAGGAAAUCCUACAACUUCUCCUUUCCUUUCAUGGCUCUGAGACACAGUCCAUUAUCAGUCUCAUUGUAAAAGACACUUCUAAAGAGUGUCCUCCUUUCUUUCCCAACACUAGCAGGGACAGUAAGUGGUGUUUCCUGGGAGAUGCUGCGGUGUUAGUUUUGCACUACAAGGGCUCUGAAGACUGCCAGGCUUGAAGUGAAGAACCACGUCACCUGCCUAUCCCAGCCAGGUGACAGUGGACAAGGGGCUUCACCUCUUAGCUGUUUUCCAGCUGUACUGGGCACAUUCCUCCUCUCACCCUGACUCACAAGGUGUUAGCAGUAAUGGACACUCCUCUAUCUUCUGCCACACUCUGAACAAUACUUCACUUCCAUCAAAUGGAUUCAUCCCAAAGGUAACACCCAUCGCUUCUGGAGGGAGAAAGGUAAUGUUUUCAUACCACUUUCAUUUGAUCUCAUUUAGAAGGUACUUGAGGAAUAGAGAAGACUGGGUUUUCUCUGGGAUUAUACGUAGGCAUUUCUUAAUGACUGGGACAUGUUCUGAAAAAUGUGUCAUUACACAAUUUCAUCAUUGUGCUAUCAUAGAACACACACACACGACCCUAGAUGGCAUAGCCUACUCCACACCUAGGCUGUACGGUAUGGCCUGUUGCUGAAGUCUACACACCUGUACAGCAUGUUACUGUACUGGAUACUGUAGGCAACUGUAACACAGUGGUAUUUGUGUAUCUAAAUGUAUAUAAACACAGAAAAGGUACAGUAAAAGAUGGUAUAAUCUCAUGGGACCACCAUCAGAUAAACCAUCCAUCACCAACAGAAACAUGGUUAUGAGACACAGGACUGUACCUGCAGCCGCCACCAUGAGGUCAAUGGCAGCCUGGAUAGUGGAACCCACUCUUCUGCUGGUCUCAUGGAAGGCAGCUCUCUGGAGCUUAUGACAGGCACCACAUAUCCCUCGGGGGAGGCAAGAGUUCACCAUUAGUCCAAGUCUGCAGCCUCCCAUUGUCUAGGCCUGCAGCCAAAUUACUGAACCUAAACUUCUGGGAGCCAUGAACUGGGCUCUACGUUGUUCCAAAGGAAAUGGGUUCAAGGUAUCAGUGCAGCUUAGCAAUUGUCCCCUAAAAAGCUCACAGAUCAAAAAUCUCCACUGUGUAUCAAUGCUAUAGCCACCAGCAGCACUUCAAGUGACCUUUCUGAAAACUGAAAAAAUGAACACCAAAUAAGUAAGCCAACCACAGAUGUACUAACCCACAUCAGGCUUGCUUUUUUAGAGGCCUGUGCUGAGCCAUCAACUGAACAGGCUCAGUUCUAAAUUCAGACAGCAGCCUGUGCUGGGUGCCUAAGGGGAUGUCUUUGAGAUACAGUUGGUCUGGAAAGAGGCAUCCAGGCAGCCAAGGGUGGGAGCUGCACCCCGGGAUCACAAACACCUUGGGGAAUGCCUGCUCUACCUGCAGUGUGGCCCCUUUGCCUCUACAGCUGGGAGUCUUCAUCUGUACAAGGUGAAUAAUAAAAAUAUUAUAAAACAAAGGCAGUCACAAAUAGCCACAUUGGUGUUGGGAUGAUCAAACCCAACACCAUGCCAUGGGAGCUACAGAGUCCGGCAGAGUCAAAGGAAUGAGACAAGACAAUAGUACAUAAAGUGGGUCCAGGGCGCUCAGGGCUGUGAAGGCCCUGAGCUCUGGGAGCCCACACUAUUUAUUGGUGAUUAAACAAACAAGCAGGGGGUGAGGAUGUGCUGGUCAAAAGGAAGCGGUCGCAUCAAGUGUUUAAUUUAUAGCUGUGUCGGUUUAGCAUUUUCUUUGAAGCAUAUGGAACAUGUUCUGCUACUCGAGAUAAUGUUGAAUAUGUCCUUCUAACUCAAGAUAUAAUCAAUUUAUGAUCCUGGGAGAGCAAGAAGCAAGGAGCCAGCAAGUCUGGACACAUUCCAGAGGCCACGAGGGGUUUUAUGUAUCCCCUACAAAAGACCAUGUUUCUUCUCAGCUUGCUCAGUCCAGCUGAGCCAGCUUUCCACUGGACUCCUGAAUGUGAGAAGGACACAGGCUCCCAGGACUAUCCAGAAGCAUCCCUCAUCACCAUAAAGCUCUAAAACACUGGCUGGGUGCAGAGGCUCACACCCGUAAUCCCAACACAUUCAGAGGCUGAGGUGAGAGGAUCACUUGAGGCCAGGAACUCAAGACCAGCCUAGGCAGCAUAGCAAGACCCCAUCUCUACAAAAAGUAUACCCCAAAAUUAGCUGGGUGUGGUGGCACAUGCCUGUAGUCUCAAUUAAUUGGGAGGCUGAGGUGGGACUAUCCCUUGAGCCCAGGAGUUUGAGGCUGCAGUGAGGUAUGAUCGCACCACCACACUCCAGCCUGGGAGACAGAUUGAGACCAUCUCUAAAACAACAACAACAGGCCAGGUGCAGUGGUUCAUGCCUGUAAUCCCAGCAAUUUGGGAGGCUGAGGCGGGUGGAUCACCUGAGGUCAGGAGUUCAAGAACAGCCUGGGCAACCUGGUAAAAUCCUGUCUCUACUAAAAAUACAAAAAAAUUAGCAGGGCAUGGUGGCAGGCACCUAUAAUCCCAGCUACUCGGGAGGCUGAGGGAGGAGAAUUGCUUGCACCCAGGAGGCGGAGAUUGCAGUGAGGUGAGAUCACAUCAUUGCACUCCAGUCUGGGCAACAAGAGCAAAACUUUGUCUCAAAAAACUAAAAAAUAUAAAAAAUACAACAAAAAAGAGACACAGAAAACUGAAAUAUUUUGUUUCAUUUUAUUAUUGAUGGUUAGUUGAUUAAAGUAAUUCUGCUUCCACUUACUUUAUUUUUGAAGACACUAAUUGCUACACUGAAUGAAACCUUAAUGAAGUUUCAUUAUAAGUAUCUAUUAUCAUUUGAUUAUUUUCUACAUAGAAGCAUGCAAAAAGUUUAAAAUUCAGUUUCAUUUGAUUUAGCCUUGACUGUAAUGAAGGACUCUAUGAAGAGGGGACACAGUGCUUAUGGGCUGGAGUCCCAGCAACUGCUUGGUGGCAGAGUCCCAGUCGUUCCCCAGUUCAAGCUGUGGGCAGAUAGAUGGGUACUGUCCUUCAGUUCUUCUUACCCAUUCACUUGCUUUCUUUAGUGCCUCAAAAGUCAAGGGAAUAUUCCUAGAUUAAAAAAAUAAAUGUUUCAGAUUUCAGAAUAUAAUAACAUGAAAUGUAAUGUGGUACUAAACCUAUCACGUUAUAUCAGACAAAAUGAUUAUGCUAAAAAUUAAGAUAUUUAAUAAAAGCAGUUUUCCUUGACAUCUUACGGAAGUUCUUCUACCCGUCUGACCUUGAGCUUAUGCACUGCAUUGUCAAGUGUCCUGUGCCCACCACUUCCUGGCUUCCACGUGCCUCCAGGCAUCCCUGCUGCCUACAGCACAGCUCACGUUCCAGCCUCUCUACAGUUGUUUAUGGUUGUCCCCUUUCCACGCUUCUCAGUCUAAAUCCUAUCCAUUCUUCACGCACAAACUCAAGUACUAUUUCACAAAUGAGGCUUCUGUUUCUCUCUCCUUCCCACUGUACUGACUUGAUUAGGUACCUUCAGAAUAUCUGAGAGUACCCCAUGAAACUGGCAUACAUUCAGUUGUGUCACGUAAACCAGGAACAACUUGGUAGAAUAAGCAUAUCAAGUCAAGUCUGUGUCCACUAAAUGGUGUCAAAUAUUUGAGACUGUUGAAUAUUCAAGUCUAUUCAACACUCAGAAAAAUUCUGAGGUUGUUCCUUAAUAUUAAUUAGCUACUUCCUCAUUUGUUCUGUCAUCUGCUAGAACUUGUUAGUGAACAAGUGGCAACAUACACCAAAGUUCUUCAGAAAAUUCUAUGGGGAAACAAUAUUUUGAAAAUUCUCUCCCUGUUCCUGAAUUUUCCUUGUGAACUGGGAAAGGGCCGUCAGUAUAGCAUGGUGGUUAAGAGCUGGGUUUGAGUCCUGACUCUGCAAUGACAUGAUAUUGGCCAUGUGAUACUGUGUGGCUUUCAUUCAACACUGGGAAUCUCAGUUUCCUCAAUUAUGAGAAUAACGAGUUCCUAUGGGUUUGUGGUGGAAAUCAACAAAGCUUACAAAUUUAACAUGCUUACUAGUCCCUAGUGCACAGUAGGCACUCAAUAAAUGUUCGCUGAAUGUCAUGAUAGAAUGAACAUACUAAAUAAGAAGCAUGCCCAAAGUGGUUAAAAGACCAAUGUUUCCCAGUAAAUAUUCAUCUACUGAUAGUUACUAACUGCUGAAAACAACAAAACUGGCUUUGAAUAUUUUCACUGAUUGAGCUGGCCUCCUUUAGUCCAGUGGCCUCUACACUUUUUGGUUCACAUUCCACUAGCAAGAAAAUCUGGUGCCUACACCCCCAUGUAAUGUGCUCUUGCAUCAAUGUUACGUACAUCCUGAAAUAGAAAAUAUAGAACAAAGUUUCAAAUAUGCAAUAAACAGGAAAUAAAAAAUAUUUAAUUACAUGUGUGCACUAAGGAAAAAAAGUCAAUCCAUUAUGCAUCAGGAAAAACAACAUUUAAAUAAGUUAUUUGUAUCUAUAAUUUUCAUCCUUAAAAAGUCUUAAGGUAGUUUGUGAUAAUCUUUCUCAAAUUUCUAAAACUUCUAUAAAUAACAGUUUCUAGUUACAUAAACAUUUUAAAAAUCAACUGUUUUUAAAGGAUAUGGCUACGAAUGCACCAUAAUUGAUUAACCCUAGAGGUUAUUUCUCAAUUUUCAUUAUUGUAAACAACGCUGUGAUGACUAUCCUCAUGUACACAUCUUUCUGCACUUGUUCAAUUAUUUUCUUAGUAGUGGAAAGGGGGAGGUUCAAUGGUUAUUCAUUAUUUAUUUUAAUUCAUAAUUUUUAAAAAUUUUGGGUUUUUUUAAUAGAUAUGGGGUCUUGCUAUGUUGACCAGGGUGGUCUUGAACUCCUGGCCUCAAGUGUCUUCCACCUCAGCCUCCCAAAGUGCUGGUUUACAGGCAUGAGCCACCAUGCCCAGCUUACAAUUUUAUUUAGUUUUUAAUAAAUAGUAAAUUCACAUUGUAGAAUAUCUAAAAAAUAAAAUAAUGACAUGUUAACUUCUUCCCCACUGUUGUCCCCAGUUCCUUUCUGCAGAGGCACCUGCUGUCACUUGCUCCUCGCGAAUCCUGCUAGAGCUACACUAUGUGUAGACAUAUGGCAGCGUGUUCCUCAGCCUCUUCCGUGCUGGCUUGUCCACUGAAUUUAUCUUGGCGAUUGUUCCUCGUGAUUACAUAUAGAGCUGCCUCAUUAUCUACAGUAGCUGGGAUGCACAUUUCACAUGUUUAUGUACACUGACUUCCAAAAGGUUGCACUUACAGUAUGUGAGUUUCUAAAAAGGAGAGACCAUGUUGGCAGUUCUCCACACAGAAUACAAACUGAGAAGGGAGAGCAGGCACGAAUUACUCAUCUGUCCACAGAGAUGGUGAGACAGCUUAGUGUGAGAAGCCAUAUAAGGGAAGUAUAUACAAUUCUACCUGAAUUGGAAGUAAACAGGGACAUUGCAUUUCUGGUAUUCAGCUGGAGUUGAACACGCUUCACAGAUGAGGCUCACUAUGGCCAAGUCCCAGUGCUGAGGUCCAGGGAGGGGCAGGCUGAGUCAGCCCAUCAAUUCGUCAACAGAGGGAACAGGAGAGGACAGGGGCAGGCCAGCCUGGAACCUAGAGCCUUUGGAUUUCUAUUUUUACUUCUUACAAUGAGGUGGUUUAAAAAAAGAGGAGGGGGCCAGGCGCGGUGGUUCAUGCCUGUAUUCCCGGCCCUUUGGGAGGCCAAGUCAGGCGGAUGACAUGAGGUCAGGAGUUUAAGACCAGCCUGGCAAAAAUCCUGUCUCUACUAAAAGUACAAAAAUUAGCCAGGCGUGGUGGCAGGCACCUAUAAUCCCAGCCACUCAGGAGGCUGAGGCAGGAGAAUUGCUUGAACUCAGGAGGUGGAAGUUGCAGUGAGCUGAGAUCGCACCACUGCACUCCAGCCUGGGCAACAGAGUGAGACUCCAUCUGAAAAAAAAAAAAGAAGAAGAGGUUAGACUUAACUGUUUCCAAGAUUUCAUCCAGUUGUGAAAUCCUGUUAUCUGAACUGCCAGGCCUACAAGUUCAAUUCAAAAGAUGGAAUGUAGCUUCCUGCAGUCUUUAAAUGAACAAAACAAACAGCACAAGCCACACUGCGAAGAUGAGUCUGCACUACAUAUCUUUCUUUUUGCCCCCAGGAACCUGGCUUACCAGUAUAUCACCCCGGCGUUGACACACUGGUGAGUGACGACAGUGCACUUUUUGCAAAUCCUGUGCACUAUGACUUUUUUCCUUCAAGAAUAGAUUUGACUGGUCUGAAAUUCUAUUUUCAUAUUUGGCUGUGCUCUAGUAAUAUCCUGCCUCACGGGACAUGUGGAAUUGUCCUGCGGUUCAGGGAACAGGGAGAGGACAGGGCUGGUCCUCCUCUGCCUCUGGGGCCCAGCCUCCCAACCGGCCAAGUCACAGUCUCUCCUGAUGAGCUUCCAGUAGCUCACUCUCUCCUGCUGCUAAUCUCUGCUUCCUCUUCUAACCAUGACCCUGUUGUUCCCUGAAUGCGCGAUGUUUUAUCGUACUGUAGUUUAUGACAUUUGGAAAUACCUGAGGAUUUAAUGAAAAGGAAAACUUUCCGCCAUUUUCCUUAAUGUCAGUUUGUAGCUUUUUCUUCUGCUGCCGAGGUAAGUACUUCACUUUCAAACAGAAGAUACAAUUUGCAAAGAUUCCCAUCAUCCUGUAGGAAACAAAGUUUUUAAGGACCCUCUCUUAAGUCAAUAUGACAGUGAAUUUAGAAUUGUUAUACAUACAAACUGUGGAAAAAUUAGGCAUUACCUUAAGAAACAUUGUAAUCAUGUUGUAAAUUGAACACAUUGUAAAAAUUGAAUAUCAUAGCUUGCAACAUGUGUGUUGGUUUAAGAAUGAUUUCUAGCUUUUGUGGCUGAUAUUACAACACCCAAAAUCCCUUUGUACAGGCUUAUAAUAUACAUCUUAAUAAAAACAUGACAGAUUUUAGUUACAGAUUGAGUGUGUGACUCAAGAACAUAGAAGCAUUUAUUUCUAAAUUAAAAAUUAACAUUAUGUGAUAGUGAAACAUGGGUUUUUGUAUAUAAUUCUAUGCAUUCAAAAAGACUCAUUAUGUGGGUUUCUGUUAAGACAUUCUGGAGAAAAACCGAACAAUUGGUAAUAAAAAU